RNAcentral lists this small RNA (29 nucleotides) under Bombyx mori (domestic silkworm). RNAcentral describes it as "ovarian small RNA-34465". Lineage: Eukaryota; Metazoa; Arthropoda; Insecta; Lepidoptera; Bombycidae. The record is from RNAcentral.
UGGAAGCGUUUUGGGUGCUAUGCCCAUAC